RNAcentral lists this ribosomal RNA (468 nucleotides) under uncultured bacterium. Its description in RNAcentral is "partial 16S ribosomal RNA". It matches the Rfam family "Bacterial small subunit ribosomal RNA", at positions 28 to 507 of the family's 1533-position model. The record is from RNAcentral.
GACGAACGCUGGCGGCGUGCUUAACACAUGCAAGUCGAACGGAAAGGCCCUGCUUUUGUGGGGUGCUCGAGUGGCGAACGGGUGAGUAACACGUGAGUAACCUGCCCUUGACUUUGGGAUAACUUCAGGAAACUGGGGCUAAUACCGGAUAGGAGCUCCUGCUGCAUGGUGGGGGUUGGAAAGUUUCGGCGGUUGGGGAUGGACUCGCGGCUUAUCAGCUUGUUGGUGGGGUAGUGGCUUACCAAGGCUUUGACGGGUAGCCGGCCUGAGAGGGUGACCGGCGACAUUGGGACUGAGAUACGGCCCAGACGCCUACGGGAGGCAGCAGUGGGGAAUAUUGCACAAUGGGCGGAAGCCUGAUGCAGCAACGCCGCGUGCGGGAUGACGGCCUUCGGGUUGUAAACCGCUUUCGCCGGUGACGAAGCGUGAGUGACGGUAAUGGGUAAAGAAGCACCGGCUAACUACGUG